CACGUAGUUAGCCGGUGCUUCUUUACCCACUACCGUCACACAAAGCUUCGUCAUGAGCGAAAGCGGUUUACAACCCGAAGGCCGUCAUCCCGCACACGGCGUUGCUGCAUCAGGCUUCCACCCAUUGUGCAAUAUUCCCCACUGCUGCCUCCCGUAGGAGUCUGGGCCGUAUCUCAGUCCCAAUGUGGCCGGUCACCCUCUCAGGCCGGCUACCCGUCAAAGCCUUGGUAAGCCACUACCCCACCAACAAGCUGAUAAGCCGCGAGUCCAUCCCCAACCGCCGAAACUUUCCAACCCCCACCAUGCAGCAGGAGCUCCUAUCCGGUAUUAGCCCCAGUUUCCUGAAGUUAUCCCAAAGUCAAGGGCAGGUUACUCACGUGUUACUCACCCGUUCGCCACUCGAGUACCCCCCGAAAGAGGCCUUUCCGUUCGACUUGCAUGUGUUAAGCACGCCGCCAGCGUUCGUCCUGAGCCAGGAUCAAACUCU
RNAcentral lists this ribosomal RNA (487 nucleotides) under uncultured Propionibacterium sp. RNAcentral's name for it is "partial 16S ribosomal RNA". Lineage: Bacteria; Bacillati; Actinomycetota; Actinomycetes; Propionibacteriales; Propionibacteriaceae. The record is from RNAcentral.